AUUGAACGCUGGCGGAAUGCUUUACACAUGCAAGUCGAGCGGCAGCGCGGGGGCAACCCUGGCGGCGAGCGGCGAACGGGUGAGUAAUACAUCGGAACGUGUCCUUGAGUGGGGGAUAGCUCGGCGAAAGCCGGAUUAAUACCGCAUAAGCUCUGCGGAGGAAAGCGGGGGACUGGUAACGGCCUCGCGCUGUUGGAGCGGCCGAUGUCGGAUUAGCUAGUUGGAGGGGUAAACGGCCCACCAAGGCGACGAUCCGUAGCUGGUCUGAGAGGAUGAUCAGCCACACUGGAACUGAGACACGGUCCAGACUCCUACGGGAGGCAGC
This 325-nucleotide ribosomal RNA is filed under the name uncultured bacterium. Its description in RNAcentral is "bacterial SSU rRNA". It matches the Rfam family "Bacterial small subunit ribosomal RNA", at positions 29 to 352 of the family's 1533-position model. The record is from RNAcentral.